GGUUGUAGCUGAUCUUUUCAAGAUAUGUGCACACCUCUAUCUAUACACCCAUGUGCACCUUUUGUAGGCUUUUUUUUGCCUAUGUUUAUACACCACACACCAUUUUGUACAAGAAUGUUAUUAAUGAAUAUUUAAUACAACUUUCAACAACGGAUCUCUUGGCUCUCGCAUCGAUGAAGAACGCAGCGAAAUGCGAUAAGUAAUGUGAAUUGCAGAAUUCAGUGAAUCAUCGAAUCUUUGAACGCACCUUGCGCUCCUUGGUAUUCCGAGGAGCAUGCCUGUUUGAGUGUCAUUAAAUUAUCAACCUCUUCAAGAGGCUUGGAUUUGGAGUGUUGCUGGCUUGUUGUUGGCUCCUCUUAAAUGAAUUAAGCUUGUGUGUAGGCUUUGGUUUGAUAAUAUCUAUGCCAUCGCUGUAAUGCAAAACAACCUUGAAAUUUGACCUCAAAUCAGGUAGGACUACCCGCUGAACUUAAGCAUAUCAAUAAGCGGAGGAAAAGAAACUAACAAGGAUU
RNAcentral lists this ribosomal RNA (512 nucleotides) under Hygrophorus pustulatus. RNAcentral's name for it is "eukaryotic LSU rRNA". The stretch from base 139 to 292 matches the Rfam family "5.8S ribosomal RNA". Lineage: Eukaryota; Fungi; Basidiomycota; Agaricomycetes; Agaricales; Hygrophoraceae. The record is from RNAcentral.